AUGGAGGAAGUGGAGGAGGCCAACAGGAUGGCCGUGGCGAGCUGCCACCGAGUGCUUGGCCUGCUCACCCAGACCCAGGACCCGGCGCAGCUCAGGAGCAUAGCUCUGGGGACGGACGAAGCCUGUGCCAAGUUCAGGAAGGUGGUUUCCCUCCUCGGCAACGGCAACGAAGGAGGGGGAACCCAUCCCAGAGCCAAGCUUGUGAGCAGAAGGCAGACCCCCGGGUUCUUGAGCCAGAAGAGCUUCUUGGACAACAACACCCCGGUGGUGGUGCUGAACAGUGCGCACCCUUCGACCAGCUCUGCGCAGGUGUAUCCUAGAAACAGCAUUUUGGAUUCACAGCCCGCGCACCCAAUCGGAGGGCUUCCCAAGCUGGUCCAGCCAUUGUCCGCGCAUUUCCAGUUCGGCGAUUCGUCGCGGUAUAAUCAGUUCCAGCAGCAUCAGCACCAGCAGCAGAAGAUGCGGGCCGAGAUGUUCAAGAGAAGCAACAGCGGGAUCAACUUGAAGUUUGACAGCCCCAGUGGCACGGGGACAAUGUCGUCCGCGAGGUCCUUCAUGUCAUCUUUGAGCAUGGAUGGCAGCGUGGCCAGCCUGGAUGCCAAGUCUUCCUCGUUCCAUUUGAUCGGCGGGCCUGCCAUGAGCGACCCGGUGAAUGCACAGCAGGCUCCAAGGAGAAGAUGCUCGGGACGUGGGGAGGAUGGAAAUGGCAAGUGUGCUGCAACUGGCAGGUGCCAUUGCUCAAAGAGAAGUAGGAAGUUGCGGGUGAAGAGGACGAUUAAAGUUCCCGCAAUUAGUAAUAAAAUUGCUGAUAUACCUCCAGAUGAAUACUCCUGGAGGAAGUAUGGGCAGAAGCCAAUUAAGGGUUCCCCUCAUCCCAGGGGGUACUACAAAUGCAGCAGCGUGAGGGGUUGCCCUGCGCGGAAGCAUGUUGAACGUUGCGUGGAUGAUCCAUCGAUGCUCAUUGUGACAUACGAGGGUGAACAUAACCAUACGCGAAUGCCAACUCAGUCUGCGCAAGCUUAG
RNAcentral lists this ribosomal RNA (1023 nucleotides) under Triticum aestivum (bread wheat). RNAcentral describes it as "partial small subunit ribosomal RNA". The record is from RNAcentral. Lineage: Eukaryota; Viridiplantae; Streptophyta; Magnoliopsida; Poales; Poaceae.